CUCAUCCGGUGUAACCUCAAAUCAUUAGCUGAUGUAUCAGAGCGUUUGGCGGUACAGGGCCAUACCGACCCUAUUGAUAGAAUCUAGCUUCACAGUUUUUGCAGAUGCAGCAGCGUGGGCUUAUACGUUUUAGCUGCUGGAGCGUACAUGGAUUUUGAUUAGAUUAUUCUUGCAAUGGCUAUUUCUCAUUGUGAAGAACCAGUACUGAUUCUGGCCGUGCAAGAUAUUGAGCCUUGUAAAUAUUUGCUACUGGAUGAGCUUUCGUAAGUCAUAAGAUCAUAUCCUACCCUACUGUGGCAAAGGCGUGCUAUACACUCGUCUCAUCUAGAGGCUGAUGUGCUAAUAGUAUUAUCUUAUCCCCUAGAACUGUAACUGUGCCUUUUUUGUUUUUGUACCUGUACAAGAAAAAAGUUCCUUGUUUGUUGUUGUAUCUUUUAUCCUUCGCUCUGUGUUGUAUAUGAUUUCAUGGUGCAUUAUUUGUUUACAAGAACAUGUGGAUUUGUGAAGCA
This 509-nucleotide unclassified non-coding RNA is filed under the name Hevea brasiliensis (rubber tree). Lineage: Eukaryota; Viridiplantae; Streptophyta; Magnoliopsida; Malpighiales; Euphorbiaceae. The record is from RNAcentral.